GACGAACGCUGGCGGCGUGCUUAACACAUGCAAGUCGAACGGAAAGGCCCUGCUUUUGUGGGGUGCUCGAGUGGCGAACGGGUGAGUAACACGUGAGUAACCUGCCCUUGACUUUGGGAUAACUUCAGGAAACUGGGGCUAAUACCGGAUAGGAGCUCCUGCUGCAUGGUGGGGGUUGGAAAGUUUCGGCGGUUGGGGAUGGACUCGCGGCUUAUCAGCUUGUUGGUGGGGUAGUGGCUUACCAAGGCUUUGACGGGUAGCCGGCCUGAGAGGGUGACCGGCCACAUGGGGACUGAGAGACGGCCCAGACUCCUACGGGGGGCAGCAGGGGGGAAUAUUGCACAAUGGGCGGAAGCUGGAUGCAGCAACGCCGCGGGGGGGAGGACGGCCUUCGGUUUGUAAACCGCUUUCGCCUGGGACGAAGGGUGAGUGACGGUAAUGGGUAAAGAAGCACGGGCUAACUACGUG
RNAcentral lists this ribosomal RNA (468 nucleotides) under uncultured bacterium. RNAcentral's name for it is "partial 16S ribosomal RNA". It matches the Rfam family "Bacterial small subunit ribosomal RNA", at positions 28 to 507 of the family's 1533-position model. The record is from RNAcentral.